This 257-nucleotide unclassified non-coding RNA is filed under the name Hevea brasiliensis (rubber tree). Lineage: Eukaryota; Viridiplantae; Streptophyta; Magnoliopsida; Malpighiales; Euphorbiaceae. The record is from RNAcentral.
GAAGAAUCUGACUCCGAUGUUUAAGAACACGUUUCAAUCCGGGUUUCUUUCCAUUUUGUACAGCCUUGGGAGCAAGCCUCUGCAGAUUUGGGAUAAAGAAGUUGUUGAUGGACAUGUCAAACGGCUGCAAGAUGAAGAUAUCCAAUCCAAUGUCCUGGAAAUUAUUGGGUCGAAUGUCCAGCAAGCAUAUAUAACGUGUCCUGCAGAUCCUAAUGCAACUCUUGGCAUAAAGUUGCCCUUCUUAGUCAUGAUAGUGA